GAUGAACGCUGGCGGCGUGCUUAACACAUGCAAGUCGAACGGAAAGGCUCCUGCUUGCAGGGGUACUCGAGUGGCGAACGGGUGAGUAACACGUGGGUGAUCUGCCCUGCACUUCGGGAUAAGCCUGGGAAACUGGGUCUAAUACCGGAUAGGACGAUGGUUUGGAUGCCAUUGUGGAAAGUUUUUUCGGUGUGGGAUGAGCUCGCGGCCUAUCAGCUUGUUGGUGGGGUAGUGGCCUACCAAGGCGUCGACGGGUAGCCGGCCUGAGAGGGUGUACGGCCACAUUGGGACUGAGAUACGGCCCAGACUCCUACGGGAGGCAGCAGUGGGGAAUAUUGCACAAUGGGCGCAAGCCUGAUGCAGCGACGCCGCGUGGGGGAUGACGGCCUUCGGGUUGUAAACUGCUUUCGCUAGGGACGAAGCGCGAGUGACGGUACCUGGAGAAGAAGCACCGGCUAACUACGUG
Molecule: ribosomal RNA, 466 nt
Filed under: uncultured bacterium
Lineage: Bacteria
Description: partial 16S ribosomal RNA
Rfam family: Bacterial small subunit ribosomal RNA
Source: RNAcentral